UUUUCAAAUAAGUCUUUAUUCAUAUUAUUUAAUAACAGAUUUAAAAUGUAAUACUGAUGUACAAUCAGUCAGGAGACAUGACUAAACACCAACGCAUACACACAGGAGAGAAGCCUUAUAGCUGUGAUCAGUGUGGGAAAAACUUCAAUCACUUCAAUUGGAGUGUGACUUACACCCCUCAGAGUAUUUGUGCCUUAAAAGAGGUCAACCGUGGAUCUGUCCUGCUCUUACACAUAUCCCAGAGGUCAUACAGUCACAGAGACAUCGUUUGAUUACAAUGGUUGUCGUUUGUUAUUUGUUUUUAAUCACAGGCCCGAAGGCAAAAGUUCAAACUAUAGUGACAGACUGACACUGACCUGUAGCACCACCUGUACUCUGACUGACAACCCCACCUACAUCUGGUACAAGAACAGACGUCUCACCAACCCAAAUACCAAAAUAACUACCUAGACCCAGUCAGCAGUGAGGAUACAGACAGAUUCUCCUCUCUGCUGAAGAGACUCACUGUCACAUACUGCAGGGAGGGAGAUGCAACAACGGCCUCGAGAACAGCAGGAAGUGUGUUGGUCUUUCUCUGUUCCCGGACAGGUUUGGCCCCAUUCAUAAUAUUUCAGUGAACAUUUUUCUCCUAUGCUUUGCAAUUCAAUCUAUAGACAUUUUUAAUAAAGGAAAGUUGUUUCUCAA
Molecule: long non-coding RNA, 684 nt
Organism: Oncorhynchus keta (chum salmon)
Lineage: Eukaryota; Metazoa; Chordata; Actinopteri; Salmoniformes; Salmonidae
Exons: 2
Source: RefSeq, a predicted model, not a curated record